This 253-nucleotide ribosomal RNA is filed under the name uncultured bacterium. RNAcentral's name for it is "partial 16S ribosomal RNA". It matches the Rfam family "Bacterial small subunit ribosomal RNA", at positions 524 to 776 of the family's 1533-position model. The record is from RNAcentral.
UACGGGGGGAGCAAGCGUUGUUCGGAUUUACUGGGCGUAAAGGGCGCGUAGGCGGUAGCACAAGUCAGUUGUGAAAUCUCCGGGCUUAACUCGGAAAGGUCAACUGAUACUGUGCGACUAGAGUGCAGAAGGGGCAACUGGAAUUCUCGGUGUAGCGGUGAAAUGCGUAGAUAUCGAGAGGAACACCUGCGGCGAAGGCGGGUUGCUGGGCUGACACUGACGCUGAGAUGCGAAAGUGUGGGGAGCAAACGGG